This 212-nucleotide long non-coding RNA is filed under the name Lathyrus oleraceus (garden pea). RNAcentral describes it as "Pisum sativum (pea) long non-coding RNA (PSAT_LNC016528)". The record is from RNAcentral. Lineage: Eukaryota; Viridiplantae; Streptophyta; Magnoliopsida; Fabales; Fabaceae.
UUUCAUUUAAGUAUGGGGGGGAAAACCGUGUUCUUUCUAUCCUCCUUUUUUUCUUUUUCAAGUAUGUACCUUUCUUUCCAUUGUCAUUUCCCUUGAAAAUAUAUAAAAAAAAAAUAAAAAAAAAUUAUUAUAAUAUAGAUUUAUGUUAAGUUAAGUCCAAAGUGUGAAAAAUUUCUAUUAUCUAUUCCCUCAAAAUUUUCAUGAGCCAUAAC